Molecule: ribosomal RNA, 253 nt
Filed under: uncultured bacterium
Lineage: Bacteria
Description: partial 16S ribosomal RNA
Rfam family: Bacterial small subunit ribosomal RNA
Source: RNAcentral
UACAGAGGGUGCGAGCGUUAAUCGGAAUUACUGGGCGUAAAGCGUGCGUAGGUGGUUCUUUAAGUCAGGUGUGAAAUCCCCGGGCUCAACCUGGGAACUGCAUUUGUGACUGCAUCGCUCGAGUGUGGCAGAGGGGGAUGGAAUUCCGCGUGUAGCAGUGAAAUGCGUAGAUAUGCGGAGGAACACCGAUGGCGAAGGCAAUCCCCUGGGCCUGCACUGACGCUCAUGCACGAAAGCGUGGGGAGCAAACAGG